Molecule: ribosomal RNA, 270 nt
Filed under: uncultured archaeon
Lineage: Archaea
Description: partial 16S ribosomal RNA
Rfam family: Archaeal small subunit ribosomal RNA
Source: RNAcentral
CAGCACCUCAAGUGGUCAGGAUGAUUAUUGGGCCUAAAGCAUCCGUAGCCGGCGCUGUAAGUUUUCGGUUAAAUCUGUACGCUCAACGUACAGGCUGCCGGGAAUACUGCAGCGCUAGGGAGUGGGAGAGGUAGACGGUACUCGGUAGGAAGGGGUAAAAUCCUUUGAUCUAUUGAUGACCACCUGUGGCGAAGGCGGUCUACCAGAACACGUCCGACGGUGAGGGAUGAAAGCUGGGGGAGCAAACCGGAUUAGAUACCCGAGUAGACC